This 254-nucleotide ribosomal RNA is filed under the name uncultured bacterium. RNAcentral's name for it is "partial 16S ribosomal RNA". It matches the Rfam family "Bacterial small subunit ribosomal RNA", at positions 524 to 776 of the family's 1533-position model. The record is from RNAcentral.
UACGGAGGGGGCAAGCGUUGUUCGGAAUUACUGGGCGUAAAGGGCGCGCAGGCGGCUGCUCAAGUCAGGCGUGAAAGGCCUGGGCUCAACCCGGGAAUUGCGCUUGAGACUGGGCUGGCUUGAGUGCGGGAGAGGAUGGUGGAAUUCCCAGUGUAGAGGUGAAAUUCGUAGAUAUUGGGAAGAACACCGGUGGCGAAGGCGGCUCUCUGGACCGAGACUGACGCUGAGGCGCGAAAGCCAGGGGAGCGAACGGG